UUUUGAUCACUGCAUACAGAUAGGCUUUGGUUUUGCAGAAGUGAAUCGGCAUUUCAAAGCCCAACCAGCUAGGAUAAAGCCUUCAGUGAGCAAGUUCCCUAACAGCUCAACUGCUUGGGAGUCCCUGGGAGUCCACUCUGGAAAGAGGCAGAUCAGCUGGGCUUCUCCAACUUCCUGCCAUCCUGGAUUCAACCAAGAGGACCUGGGGCAGCGUGCUCUACAUGCAGUUCCUGACCCUCCCUGUAGUGCCUGCGACAACCUUCCGGUUCGCCCCCAGCCUGCUGCACCAGCCUGUGAGCUCUCUGGGACAAGGAAUAGACUUUUUCCAUCAUCUCUUCACUGCUCCAUGGAACAGGUGCUUCCCAUCAUCUGUUGGGUAAACAAGUGAACCUCUGGAUGAUCAGAUGAAGACGAUAAACAAGAC
Molecule: long non-coding RNA, 424 nt
Filed under: Fukomys damarensis (Damara mole-rat)
Lineage: Eukaryota; Metazoa; Chordata; Mammalia; Rodentia; Bathyergidae
Description: lncRNA (ENSFDAG00000033350.1)
Source: RNAcentral